CCUACGGGUGACAGCAGUGGGGAAUAUUGCACAAUGGGGGAAACCCUGAUGCAGCGACGCCGCGUGAGUGAAGAAGGAAUUCGUUAUGUAAAGCUCUAUCAGCAGGGAAGAAAAUGACGGUACCUGAGUAAGAAGCCCCGGCUAACUCCGUGCCAGCAGCCGCGGUCAUACGUAGGGGGCAAGCGUUAUCCGGAUUUACUGGGUGUAAAGGGAGCGUAGACGGCAGUGCAAGUCUGGAGUGAAAGGCGGGGGCUCAACCCCCGGACUGCUCUGGAAACUGUACGGCUGGAGUGCAGGAGAGGUAAGUGGAAUUCCUCGUGUAGCGGUGAACUGCGUAGAUAUUAGGAGGUACCCCAGUGGCGAAGGCGGCUUACUGGACUGUAACUGACGUUGCGGCUC
RNAcentral lists this ribosomal RNA (399 nucleotides) under uncultured bacterium. Its description in RNAcentral is "partial 16S ribosomal RNA". It matches the Rfam family "Bacterial small subunit ribosomal RNA", at positions 338 to 754 of the family's 1533-position model. The record is from RNAcentral.